ACGAAGGGGGCUAGCGUUGCUCGGAAUGACUGGGCGUAAAGGGCGCGUAGGCGGAAGUGACAGUCAGACGUGAAAUUCCUGGGCUCAACCUGGGGACUGCGUUUGAGACGUUACAUCUAGAGUGAGGAAGAGGGUUGUGGAAUUCCCAGUGUAGAGGUGAAAUUCGUAGAUAUUGGGAAGAACACCGGUGGCGAAGGCGGCAACCUGGUCCUUUACUGACGCUGAGGCGCGAAAGCGUGGGGAGCAAACAGGAUUAGAUACCCUGGUAGUCCACGCUGUAAACGAUGUGUGCUGGAUGUUGGGUGACUUAGUCACGCAGUGUCGUAGCUAACGCGAUAAGCACACCGCCUGGGGAGUACGGCCGCAAGGUUG
Molecule: ribosomal RNA, 372 nt
Filed under: uncultured bacterium
Lineage: Bacteria
Description: bacterial SSU rRNA
Rfam family: Bacterial small subunit ribosomal RNA
Source: RNAcentral